This 329-nucleotide ribosomal RNA is filed under the name uncultured eukaryote. RNAcentral describes it as "partial 18S ribosomal RNA". It matches the Rfam family "Eukaryotic small subunit ribosomal RNA", at positions 1470 to 1796 of the family's 1831-position model. The record is from RNAcentral.
CCCUUAGAUGUCCUGGGCCGCACGCGCGCUACACUGAGUGUCUGAGAUACGAGUCUGCCUGGUCCGGCAAGGUCUAGGUAAUCGCUAAAAGACACAUCAUGCUUGGGAUAGAUUAUUGCAAAUAUUAAUCUUGAACGAGGAAUUCCUAGUAAGCGCAAGUCAACAGCUUGCGUUGAUUACGUCCCUGCCCUUUGUACACACCGCCCGUCGCUACUACUGAUUGGAUGUUUAAGCGAGGUUCUCGAACUGCUAGCGACUUAGCUUCGGUGAGGUCGCAGUGUGGGGAGUGAACCUAGCUUUGGUGUCUAGAGGGAGUAAAAGUCGUAACA